This 96-nucleotide transfer RNA is filed under the name Martinezella rhizogenes. RNAcentral's name for it is "Agrobacterium rhizogenes tRNA-Arg". It matches the Rfam family "tRNA". Rfam says of the family: Transfer RNA (tRNA) molecules are approximately 80 nucleotides in length. Their secondary structure includes four short double-helical elements and three loops (D, anti-codon, and T loops). Lineage: Bacteria; Pseudomonadati; Pseudomonadota; Alphaproteobacteria; Hyphomicrobiales; Rhizobiaceae. The record is from RNAcentral.
CGCAGCGUAGCUCAAUGGAUGGAGCACUUGCUUUCUACGACCAGCGUCCCGGCGCUAUCGGGCAAGAGGAUAUGGGUUCGAGUCCCCUCGCUGCGA